Molecule: ribosomal RNA, 764 nt
Filed under: uncultured Streptococcus sp.
Lineage: Bacteria; Bacillati; Bacillota; Bacilli; Lactobacillales; Streptococcaceae
Description: bacterial SSU rRNA
Rfam family: Bacterial small subunit ribosomal RNA
Source: RNAcentral
GACGAACGCUGGCGGCGUGCCUAAUACAUGCAAGUAGAACGCUGAAGAGAGGAGCUUGCUCUUCUUGGACGAGUUGCGAACGGGUGAGUAACGCGUAGGUAACCUGCCUUGUAGCGGGGGAUAACUAUUGGAAACGAUAGCUAAUACCGCAUAACAAUAGGUGACACAUGUCAUUUAUUUGAAAGGGGCAAUUGCUCCACUACAAGAUGGACCUGCGUUGUAUUAGCUAGUAGGUGAGGUAACGGCUCACCUAGGCGACGGUACAUAGCCGACCUGAGAGGGGAUCGGCCACACUGGGACUGAGACACGGCCCAGACUCCUACGGGAGGCAGCAGUAGGGAAUCUUCGGCAAUGGGGGCAACCCUGACCGAGCAACGCCGCGUGAGUGAAGAAGGUUUUCGGAUCGUAAAGCUCUGUUGUAAGUCAAGAACGAGUGUGAGAGUGGAAAGUUCACACUGUGACGGUAGCUUACCAGAAAGGGACGGCUAACUACGUGCCAGCAGCCGCGGUAAUACGUAGGUCCCGAGCGUUGUCCGGAUUUAUUGGGCGUAAAGCGAGCGCAGGCGGUUUGAUAAGUCUGAAGUUAAAGGCUGUGGCUCAACCAUAGUUCGCUUUGGAAACUGUCAAACUUGAGUGCAGAAGGGGAGAGUGGAAUUCCAUGUGUAGCGGUGAAAUGCGUAGAUAUAUGGAGGAACACCGGUGGCGAAAGCGGCUCUCUGGCCUGUAACUGACGCUGAGGCUCGAAAGCGUGGGGAGCGAACAGG